RNAcentral lists this ribosomal RNA (252 nucleotides) under uncultured bacterium. RNAcentral describes it as "partial 16S ribosomal RNA". It matches the Rfam family "Bacterial small subunit ribosomal RNA", at positions 524 to 775 of the family's 1533-position model. The record is from RNAcentral.
UACGAAGGGGGCUAGCGUUGUUCGGAUUUACUGGGCGUAAAGCGCACGUAGGCGGAUCGUUAAGUCGGGGGUGAAAUCCUGGAGCUCAACUCCAGAACUGCCUUCGAUACUGGCGAUCUUGAGUCCGGAAGAGGUGAGUGGAACUCCUAGUGUAGAGGUGGAAUUCGUAGAUAUUAGGAAGAACACCAGUGGCGAAGGCGGCUCACUGGUCCGGUACUGACGCUGAGGUGCGAAAGCGUGGGGAGCCAAACA